CCNACACAUGCAGUCGAGGGGUAACAUUGUAGCUUGCUACAGAUGACGACCGGCGCACGGGUGCGUAACGCGUAUACAACCUGCCUUUCGCUGAGGGAUAGCCCAGAGAAAUUUGGAUUAAUACCUCACGGUAUUACGGUAUCGCAUGGUAUUGUAAUUAAAGGUUACGGCGAAAGAUGGGUAUGCGUCCCAUUAGCUAGAUGGUGUGGUAACGGCACACCAUGGCAACGAUGGGUAGGGGUCCUGAGAGGGAGAUCCCCCACACUGGUACUGAGACACGGACCAGACUCCUACGGGAGGCAGCAGUGAGGAAUAUUGGGCAAUGGGCGCAAGCCUGACCCAGCCAUGCCGCGUGCAGGAAGACUGCCCUAUGGGUUGUAAACUGCUUUUUUACGGGAAGAAUAAGGGCUACGUGUAGCCUGGUGACGGUACCGUAGGAAUAAGCACCGGCUAACUCCGUGCCAGCAGCCGCGGUAAUACGGAGGGUGCAAGCGUUAUCCGGAAUCAUUGGGUUUAAAGGGUCCGUAGGCGGGCUAUUAAGUCAGGGGUGAAAGUUUGUGGCUCAACCAUAAAAUUGCCCUUGAUACUGGUAGUCUUGAGUUAUCGUGAAGUGGUUGGAAUAUGUAGUGUANCGGUGAAAUGCAUAGAUAUUACAUAGAACACCGAUUGCGAAGGCAGAUCACUAACGAUCGACUGAC
Molecule: ribosomal RNA, 698 nt
Filed under: uncultured bacterium
Lineage: Bacteria
Description: bacterial SSU rRNA
Rfam family: Bacterial small subunit ribosomal RNA
Source: RNAcentral